Molecule: non-coding RNA, 101 nt
Filed under: Massilia sp.
Lineage: Bacteria; Pseudomonadati; Pseudomonadota; Betaproteobacteria; Burkholderiales; Oxalobacteraceae
Also listed under: 1 other name
Description: Glycine sequence
Rfam family: Glycine riboswitch aptamer
About the family: This family represents the bacterial glycine riboswitch.
Source: RNAcentral
CGGCUCAACUCUGGAGAGCGGCCGAUGCUCAGCAUGCGGCCCACCGAAGGGGCAGGCGGCCACGCCGCUAUCUCUCAGGUACCAAGGACAGAGGGGAAUGA